Equus caballus (horse) is the source of this 9907-nucleotide non-coding RNA. NCBI's taxonomy places the organism in Eukaryota, Metazoa, Chordata, Mammalia, Perissodactyla, Equidae. The record is from RefSeq and is a predicted model, not a curated record.
GAGCUUCUCAUGAUGCGCAGGUGCAGACGGGAACUCAAUCCUUGUUGUGGCUCUUGGUUUUUCUUAUCCAGAGUGACCCUUCCCUGGCUGAUUUCCUUGGUCCUGCUUGCGUUUCAGAACUCCUACCAUCCACAGCCUACCCUUGUGAAAUGUCAGCGCUCAGAGCCGAGCUUGGGGACAAUUGAGGGACAGUCCGUUAUCACCCUCACAGCGCUGAGGGGGAGCUGGCGAUCUGGCCCAUCAGGAUCAGCUGUUCCCUCACUGAUUGAUUGCUGAGCAGUGAAUCUAAUUUGGAAAACACAAAGUGAGCUGGUUUGUCUGGAAAGAAAAAGAAAUGGGACCAUUUCUGUCCACAGCAUCAGGAUGUGCCUGUCAUAAUAUUUAGGGCUGACGACAGCAUUCAGAAGAAUGUGAAAACAAUAAACACAUCGGAAGGAGCCCGGAAAAAAUAUGAAGCAUUACAGGAGUUCUUGGGAAACUUAACGUCACAUUUCCGAGUUGAAGGAAGUGAAAAUGUGAAAGCUUUGACUUAAAGUGAGGAAAUUCAAGGUCUGACGUUCCAGGAAGUGGCUGGGAGAAUGAGGUAAAGAAAGGUGUUGAAGGUGGAAGAAACACCAUGAUCCAGUGGCAGGAGAACGAGAAGCGUGACUUGUGCUGGGACGUUUCCUGCCUGCCUGAGGAGUUCGAGGGAGGGGUAAGUACUUACAGAGAGCCACAAAUGGAGAAGACGUAGAAUGGGGAGUAGCAGCUCCUUUGUCGGGAAAGCAUUUACCCACCCUGGGCAUGUAACCCACCUAGGUACCAUUGCAGGAAGCUCUCUUUCCUCUCACUCCCAUGAGCAAUCACAUGAGCAAGUUCAUGCAUGUUCUCUGCUGGUUCUUUCCUGGCACACAUGACCCAUACCCCUUAUUAGAAAUGUAUCAGCUUCAAAUUUUUAGUUCUCUUUCUAUUAAUAUACCGAGUCCUCUACCAUCCUGGCUUUUGUAGGGCAGAAAAGGAUUUGAAUUUCUUUAUGCCCCAUCACUGCCAUAGUCUAUAGAUUUUAGAAGGUGAUUGAUAAAUGUGUUGAUUAAUUUUAUACAUAAUUUCAAAAGAAAGAGAAUAUUCAGCAAAUGUGUUAAAAAGGCAGGGGGACUUUUGAGACUAAAAGAUACUAAAAAGACCUGACAACCAACAAUUAAAUGCAAUUGAUUGUAUCCUGGAUUUUAAAAAAUCUAUAAAGGACAUUAUUGGGACAAUUGGAGAAAUUUGAACAUGGGAUGAUAAUAAGUUUCUUGAGUGUAACACUAGUAUUGUGGUUGAGGAAGGAAGUCCUUUUUCAGAGAUACUUGCUGAAAUAUUUAGUGAUAAAGUGUUAUAAUGUCUGCAAAAUACUUUCUAAAGAUACAGCAAAAAAUGGAUGUAUGUAGAUAGACGUAAGCUAAGGUAGCAAAAUCUUAAAUAAUUGAUAAAGCUGAGUGAAGAGCAUACAUGUGUUCAUUGUACUAGUUUUUUUUUUUUUUUGAAUUUCUUUAAGCUUCAAUUUUUUCCACAAAGAAAAACUUGGAAAAGUAAUAUUUUUAAAAAUGAUUUUUAUAAAUUAAAAUAAUUCCUGUAAACCCCAAAUUAGCAGAUCUUGCUUCUUCCACUCUCCCUUCCUCUGCAAUUCCAGAUUUUGCUGAUUUCUCUGUCUUCCGUGAUUUCAUUGUCCAGUAAAUCUUGUUCCCAUGGUCUUAUCUCCUCUACUAGACAUUGAGAUAUUCAUGGAUCACAUCAAAUGUUAGUUUCCUCAUGUAUUUGGUCCUAACCCUGCCUGCUAGUGCCUCACACACUGCCAGAUACGCAGUGGGUGUCCAUGGACGUUCUCAUGGUCUACUGGCAUCAUCAUCCUUGACCUAAAAGCUGUACCUUGGCUCUAUUCUCACUCAGAUUUCUUUUUUCUUUCCAGCUUUCUUCGCUCAGUCUAAAGCUGCUAUUAAUUCAUUUUCACAUUAUUCAGGAAAAAGAAUGCCGGAUCCCCGACAUCCUUAUGGCUUAUCACAUAUCCUUUGGGCAAAGGUAAUCUAGUCUGUGUCAUUGUAUUUAUUGCCCCCAAAUCAAAACCAGUUGCCAAAGUAAUGAAGGUCUAUUGGUUUGUGUUGACUUAAUCCAUGUCAGAGGAGCUGUGGGGGCAUAUAAGGAUAAUUUGACCAGCAAAAGGAAAGCCAUAAAAAUGAUCAAAAAGCCAAUAGAUAUGCUGAGAACACCAAGCUUAUUUUACUGAGGAUUUAUGGCCAACUUAUCAGAAAAUUAUUUGGUCCAAGUCUACACUCAAAUAAGUCCCUCAGUAAUUCAGCAAAGAUUCCAGCCUCUGAAAAAAAAAAAUAGCCUCUAUAAUGAGAUACCCUAGUAACCCCUAACUUGCAGCACAUGUAGUUUAAUUUUCAACAGUUGUGGGACUGCAGUAAAUCCAGCUUUUGAAUAACUAGUUCCACUUAUACCUCAGAUCUGCAUUAAAUUACCAGAGCAUGAAGGGCCCACUGCAUCGGCCCUCCUGACAUACUUGCAUAAGUGUUUAUUAAUCAAAUAGAGCUUAAAUGUCCGACAUACCCCAGAUGGCAGCAGUGCCAAUUCCCGCUGUGUUUCAGCAGAAGAGAAUACUGAAUUGCUAGGCUCUGCCACGCUGUGUCAGUUGUACCCCAACCCUGGAGGUAUUGACCAGACUCAAAUUGGCUUCCCCUCGUGUAGGUGAUAAAGGGUGGCAUCAAGUCACCCACGUAAAAUAUAUUACUUUAACUUUGACAGCUUGUCAUUGAAGUCCUUGUUUAUAUAAUCUAUUGUGCCAUUUACUAGAUUCUUAUUUUAAAAAGCAAACGUAGAAAUAAAAACUCUUUCUUCUAGUGUUUCAUUGAUGAAUGUCUAUACCCUGCACCUUCUCUUAAAUAAUCUCAGAAGUAGCUAUUUCUAUUGUCACUGUCAGUUUACAUCAAAUUAUCAGACCUUCAGUUUCAAAGUCUGCCUCCUGGAAGAUGAAAGACACAUAGCAUGCUUUAAUGGGAAUCCUUCCACUGCACAGCCUUCUUUCUUCCAAAUAGCUUGAGACUUGGUUUGUCUAAACAGAGAAGGAUCCUGCAAUGCUGAGGGUGGUCAGAUCCCAAAUGAACAUUACUAAAAGCUAUGAGCUUGUCGCAACUGAAAACCCCAAGGCAUCUUACAACCAGCAAGGAUGGAACUUCAUGUUGUGGGGAUUUAUUAAAAUAGUAUUUAGUUUUAGAACUAAAAACUUCUUUCAGAAGUCAGGCUUUGAAAUUCCAAAUAAGCCAUUUGGUAAAAGUCUAUGGGUUUUAAAGUUGGCAGGAUUGAAAAAACAAAACAAAAACCUUAUGUCUGACUUUGCUAACUGUCCACUUUAAUGCCCAAAAACACAACUGGGGAAAAGGACAUGUUUACAUUAGUAUGGAGGAAUGUAAAGCAUUCCAUCUUGGAGGGACAAAAAUAAAGGCUAACAGCAUUUUCCUAUUAGUUUAAAAAUACCACUGAACUAAAAUUUCCCUAUCUUGUAUGUAUAAAUUUAGCAUAGAAUUUAACGGCCUACUAUAAAAUUAGAUCAGAAAAUAUAGCUGAGAUAGUUAUUUCUCCUUCAGAUCUCUAAGUCCAUGUACAAGGUAAUCAUGAUAUUUACAAUGUCUGCAUUGCCUUUUGAAAUAAUAGUUUGGGAGACCCUUGCCCGAGAAAAGACGAGACUUAGAAGUGCCAAGAACUCUGCUCCUUUCCUACCAAAGGCUCAAAGGAUGAAUCACAUAAAAAGUCCUCUUGCCCUUUUGCCACAGACUAACUUUGAUGACUGUUUUCAUAAGGUGAAGAUCAGAUUCUCUGUUUCUGACCCAGUUCAGAGACCUAUUUAAGAAGAAAUGAGAGAACCCAGCUAAUGCGUUUAAUUAUACUUCCGUUCGAUAAUUUGCUAUUGAUACCCUCAAAAUGUAAGUUCUUUUCUCUGGAUAAUCUUUGUUGAUUACUGCAUUUUCUCAUAUUCUGUGUCGUAUGGAUGCUUGAAUUAUUUAUAUUCCUUUUUUUCCCCUGAUUUUUGAAGUAAUUGCUGAAAGACUAUUCCCCUUACUAACUUCAAUAAUCGGAAACACAGGAAAAUUUUGUUUUCUAAACUCCCAAAGAGACUUAGAACUGAGAAUUCAAACUGUAAACUAAGCCUCUUCAAUGUGGUGGGCAGUACAACUUCUUUUUCCCAUACCCCAGAAUAACAUUCCUCUCUCCUCCUCUUGUAAGAAAAAACAUUUCCCUCCGGUCUAUAACUUUUCUAUUCAAUCUCCAUUUAGAUUACUUGUCCUCAGGGAUACGGCUGUGCUAAGAGCCUUAGGAAGAAAACCACGAUUAGUCACCAGGCUUGCAAAAUCCUCCCCAAUUCUGUUUACGGGGAUUGAUGCCAAAUCUCCCAACGUGCUCAGUGCUGGUGUUCUUUUCAGGGUCAUUCUGCUUGCUCAGCACAGAUUAAACACACAGCCUCGCUAUUUCCAGUGUUGUGAGGAGACACAUUUACAUUCCACUGACAGCGUGGAGUGUAAAAGGGAGCCAUCUGCUGAGAUUUCACAACACGAGGGGCAGCUACAACUUCAAGAAGAGACGAGGAGUUCAACUCAGUCCGAGCGCUCCUCUCUGUGUGGCAGACCUGGGGAGAAAUCUCCUCCACAUUAAAAGGCAUUUUUUUUCUUAAGUGGUCCUAGAAGUUGGUCCUUCAGCCAAUAGCGUCAUUGUUCCCUUUUAUUAAAGUUUCUUCACUACUAUUUUUAAGGCUCCUUUCCUAGUCUCAGGAACCUGGAAUAAAGAUACUAUUUCUACUACAGAGAUCACAGCUAGAUCUUUGAUUAUUUGCGUGUCUUCCUAGGCAAUUAAUCUUUUCGAUAUUUAGUUAAUUUUCCACAAUGAGACUAUCUGUAAAUACUUUGAAACUAAAAGGUGGUACAUAGGGAAAAAGAUAAAGUAAUUAAAAUCUGAAAGUUUAAUGCGUCCGUGGCAUUUUACGUGCCAUCUCAUUUUAAUCUUCAUGACAAUCUAAUGAUACAGAGGUGAUUGCCCUUAUUGAGAAGAUGAAUUAAGCAAUUUGGCCAAAAUCACACAGCUAGUUAGCAACAGACCUGUAUCCAUAUUGUCAGAGCUUGUUCAGUUAUGCACAGAUGCAUCCUAGGUAGGGCGUUAUAUAGAUAUAACCACAAAUCUACCCUUAACUCCUGCUAGGUUACCCUUAUUUGACAUAUUUACACACUGAGAGGUGUGACUAACAAGGGUUAUUUUAUAUUUCAAGUCUCUUGCUAUGUGUAGUGCUUACAAAACCAGCCAGGCUUCUCUGCUCAUCGAUGUUUGUUUAACAUUUUUAAGGACUUUGCAUGUGAGAGUAAGCUUCAAUAAAGUAGGCUGAUGGGUGGAAAGGUUUUGUUUGUGAGUUCUAGGAAGGUGCCUGGCACACAGUAGGUGUCUGGGAGGUAGGCUGUCUCUAUAAACAGUGCCUGCAUAGAUGCUGAAAAAUUCAGCAGGAGAACAAAGAAAAAGACCCAUAAUUCACAACUUUCAGUCCCAUGCUUUUAACACCCCAGCAUGUCUCUCAAGAAAUAAAACAACUAAACAACGCAGAAAAUCUCCCAGGGUUGUUGCUUGUAUAAAACAGCCGUGUGCUCCCCUCCAGUCUUAACACGAUGUUACCAGACGAUGAUUAAGAAGGUAGCUGUUUCAGGGCUUCACAGUGUCAGGAAACAAGGUAUCAAGCCCAACGACUCCCUUCUUAGGUGCAACACUUCGAUUGCAGCCAUCUAUUGCUUCCAACUGUAAAUAUUAACGGCGAAGAAAAGAGAGAGCUCUUUAUUGGCUCUGGGCUGCCUGAGCUCAGCAUAUUACAUGGCACUCUGGCAUUAUUUGCUGAGACAUAGAUAAUUGUACUUCUUGUUAACAAGUUUCCAUGUAUUUUUUACUCCAUCAGCAGGUUCUUGAAUCAAUGCCUGGAUUAGGUUUGACUAACAUCAGCACAAUUUGACUUUGAUGGAAAGUUUGAAAUUUAUAGUUAAAAACUGUACAUCCAUUUGCUAAUUUCCAAGUGCAAGCAGCUGGUUCUUUUGGAUCCCAUAGUCUUUAUGCCCGGUUCCCCAAACCACAUGAGUUCUUUUGCCUCUGACUGGAAGAAGGAGACCAUAAUGUUUUAAGGACGCUGGGGAACAUUUAGGAGCAAAUAAGGAGGCCUUUCCCAUUUCACCCAUUGCCCAAGGUUUUAAGGUUUCCACCAGCAUGGGAGAACGGCAGAGCUGUUUUUAUAUUCCUUUUGAGACACUAAGUUUCAAAACCAUUAUAUAGGAACUCCUAUUUUCUUGCAGACGUAAGAAAAAAAAUGGCCUCAAUAUUAUUUAUGUGUAAAUGUGCACACAUAUUUCACUCCAUAUAAAGUAUAUAUAGUCCCUAACACACACUUAAGCUGUCUCAUUGCAAUGGCACAUUACUACCUAUAAAAAGUCUGAUGCAAAAAGGUUUUCCUGCACCACCAUGCAGAAAAUCAAAGACAGUGUUACAUGUGUAUAAGAUCGUAUACAGUCUAACUACUGUUAUUUAUAAGAAUAUACUUUUAAUUUAUGUAGCAAAAAUUCUAAUUGGUGUAUUCUUAGCCAUGGACACUUACAUUCAUGGCAUACUAUACUUUUGCCUUAAUGUAUGAUUUCAAGAUCCUAUAUUUAUUUCGAGGUCCUCUUCUGUGUUUGGAAAGUUGUAUUCAAACAGAAUGUGCCAUCUUUUUCCCUUCUGUCAACUUCAGAGUUCAUGACAUAUUGUAAGUGCUCAGAUUUUGGGGGACUGAAUUGACAAAUUAGACGGCAUCGUAAAACCAAUGCGAAAAGAAACUUUGACAUAAAUGAUGGGCAGCUCCUGAUAAAUCCGGGUGAGACUUGGCACCUUUGUCAGGGGGAGGGGAAGGUUUAUAGAUCCGUGCAUCAGGCCCAAUCUGGACCUCACUUUGAACUGAGAGAACUUAGUGGGAGCUUGUCAUUACGAUUGCAAUCUGUGAUCACUGGAAUGAGAAAAUCAGUGAGCAAAUCCUUCAGAGCGAACUGAACCGAGGAUGGUGCCCUUGUUACAUCCCGCUCUGGCUAACAGUGCCAUGUGAGUUAAUACCCAGGCACAGUCUACUCUUCCCUCACGGAAUACUUUAUUGAACGGGUAGCCACUCAAAUGCUUUGCACCUAUGUACAUGCACAUCACCUUCAUGCGUCUCAUAAUGCAACCCAGGCUCCUUACGUCCCAGAAUGCCUCUUUACAAAGGUGCACAUUUUCCUCUUCAACAGAGCAAUGGCCUAAACUCCCCAUCCACGAUGGGAGUCCUGCAAAAUACUCCACCAUUUCUGUUUCAAGGCAGAAGACUAAUUAUACGCCAUUACACAGAACCUGUAGCUCUUCAGCUCACCCUACAGGGUGAAUGUGAAGCUCAAAGUCAUCACUUAGGGUUCUGCAAAUAAAUUUUUAACUCGGGUUGCUUAUAUUGGUUUCUAUAAUUCAAGAGCAUAUAUAUUGGUAAUUAAGUGGCAAUGGAGUUAUACCAGCCCAAACAUACACAACCUUUAACCAAAAGAAGAUGCAAAUUAGGAUAAUUUACAUACUGCCAGCUGUGAAUAUCUUUAGCACUCACGGGACUUAACGGUAAAAAUAAAUAGAUACCAGAUCCCAUUGUGUCCACAGAGCAGACUUUAAACUUUCUUUCCCGUUUAUCUUCUUCAUUCGCUCCAUGGAGCUGUUCUUCAAAAAAUUCCACAGAGUUCCCUGGCUAUAGUUUGUCUUGUGAAAAACUUGUGUUUUUGUAAAGUAUUUGGAAUGGUACCUAUUUUAAACCCUCAUUUUACAAUUAAGAAGUGUUAACAUUUCUAAAAUUUUCAGUCUGCUUAAAAGGAAUCUCCAAGUGUUGCAUUUUACAAAUUAGGAAACGGAAACCCCAGAUUGCGAAUUGGAGAAGAAAACAAGGAUUUGAGGUUAGAUGAACGGCAUGACUCUGAGGAAGUCACUUUCACUAGGUUGGGCCUUAGUUUUCUCAUCUGUAAAGUGGAAAUAGCAGUACUAUUUGGUUAGGAUUAAGUGAGGGACAGAAUGUUGGGGCAUUUGAUCAUUAGGUGGAUAUAAUUAGCUAUCAGAGAAGGCACCAUGAGAACCCUGGUCAUCUGAGGCCUGAGCCAAUGGGAGUCUUGUGCACCAGCUGCUAACUCCCUUCGGGCAGUUAAUGGUCCACUCUCAGAACCUUCUGGUUUCUUUAGCUCUGAAGAUAGGUUGCACUAUCCACAAAAUGUUCAAACCACUGCUCGAUAUGGGGUACAAUUUAUAUUGAUCUGUACAAUGGAGACAUUUAUUAAAGUGAGCAAAUAUAUUUCUUAAUUGUAUGUAUUUUAAGAUGAUGAACCAUAACAGGAUCAGUCUACUGCCCCAAAGGCUCUUUGUUAGCCGUGUGGAUCCAGGGAAUUUGCUCAAUUUUCAGUCAAGGGAGACUUAAUCUGAUUAUACUCAAACCUCCUCAGACCAAAACACGUCUUUGGUCCUUUGAGAAAAAAGGGGAGAGCGUCAGAGGCCUGAAAAUCCUCAAUUAAUGAAUAAGAACGUUAGAAAGAUUCAAAUGAAGUAAAAAAAAAAAGUGCUUAGAGCAAGACUUAGUAAUAAAAUCAUGCCUAAGAAAACUCAUAAUUAGCAGAAAUCAAAAACUGGGUUAAAGAAUAUGUACCUUUAAUAAGCCAGUUAAACUCUUUCACCCACAAUCUGCUUAACAAAAACGUCCUGCCUGUACACCAAUAUUGAAAAGAAGAAUUUCUGGAACAAGGAGAAGCUUGUAUUGGUUUGGGCUCCAAUAGGAAAGAAUAAGUCUAAAAACAUCAGUUUUGGAGUUUUCAUUAAUCAAAUAAAACCAUCAUUAAAGAAAGAUGCUACUGUUUUUGGUAUAAGGUCUCUUCUAGUCAGAAAGUAAAUGGCAGCUCACACUUAGUAACAACCUAUAGGAAUUCGUUUAGAGGAAAACAUGGCACAGCCCUAAAUCACAGAAUUAUGGAACCACUCUUCCUUCUCUGGCUAGAUUUUAACAGAAGUGUAGGCAAUUUACACUGUAAUCUAGCCCUACCUGUAAUCUAUCCAAUUUUAUAUCCCAUUAUUUCCCAGCAUUCUUUGCCUGUUCCAGUCAUCCGCUCUCUGUACUUGAUGUCAUCCACACUUUCACCCCCUCUCACAUCUUGACUUUUGACCUUUUUUCUCUCUUGAAUGCUCUCCCAUUUUCUGUCCUCUAAUCUGUCUCAUAUUUCAUGACCUAGCUUGAUUCCCACAUCUGCCAUGAAAAUGUCCCCUCUCGCAAUAGCUCAUAGCGACCAAACUUCUGUGAACUCAGACUGUGCUUUUACUCAGUAACAUAAAUUAGGGGUUAAUUGUUUUCAAUAUAUCUUGUAGUUUCCUUUUUUUCCCUCUAAAACAAGACUGUAGUUUUCUUGAAAUUAUUAUAGUAGAGAUUAUAUGUUAUAUUUCACAGACUCCCUGCUCUUUCCUCACUCCUUAUGUCCUCCCUAUUGUCAGAUGCGUUGUAGAAACCAGUGUGUGGAUGGAAUGGUCACUUUGGGAAGAUAAGCUCAUUCUUUUCGGUGUAGAGGAUAGCUCUGCACUGUCGUGGGACCUAUGAAAGGACAGAACACUGGGUUUCCUGCUGAGAGGCCCGAAUGUCAGCUUGUCCCACCGGAGCAGUUACUGAAGACCAAGGUGUCUCCCAGGGAGGACGGAUGGGCAGCAAGGAGGCAGGAGCGGACGGCACAAUUACUCCAGGAUCAGAGAACUAAAAUGAGUCAAGGCCUCUCUCGAAAGUCAACGGCUUUUAAGUGUGGGGCUGUUCCAGUGUAUAUUAAUAAUCAUCCUGCUCACCCCACUCAACAACUGGCUCAUCAUUCAUGCGCAG